Molecule: ribosomal RNA, 301 nt
Filed under: uncultured bacterium
Lineage: Bacteria
Description: partial 16S ribosomal RNA
Rfam family: Bacterial small subunit ribosomal RNA
Source: RNAcentral
CAGUAGCCGCGGGAAUACGUAGGUCCCGAGCGUUGUCCGGAUUUAUUGGGCGUAAAGCGAGCGCAGGCGGUUAGAUAAGUCUGAAGUUAAAGGCUGUGGCUUAACCAUAGUACGCUUUGGAAACUGUUUAACUUGAGUGCAAGAGGGGAGAGUGGAAUUCCAUGUGUAGCGGUGAAAUGCGUAGAUAUAUGGAGGAACACCGGUGGCGAAAGCGGCUCUCUGGCUUGUAACUGACGCUGAGGCUCGAAAGCGUGGGGAGCGAACAGGAUUAGAUACCCGAGUAGUCCCUGUCUCUUAUACA